Molecule: long non-coding RNA, 1059 nt
Organism: Salvia miltiorrhiza (redroot sage)
Lineage: Eukaryota; Viridiplantae; Streptophyta; Magnoliopsida; Lamiales; Lamiaceae
Exons: 2
Source: RefSeq, a predicted model, not a curated record
UUCGCAGUCCACAUAAAUAAAACAAAGGCCCAAUACUUGAAUAAAACUAAACCCAAGCAUGUAAAUAAAUAAAUGACUACAGCCCAAGCCUCGGCCCAAAACUCAAUUAAAAUCGGCCCACUUCCUUAAAAAAAAAAAACAGCCCAUCUUUGGGCCCAACCCUAAAUCCAUCUUCAUUUAUCACACCCACACACACAUCACACGCAUACACACAUCACACGCAGCAGCUGCGCUGCCCACACUCCCCUCCCUCUUCUUCCUUUCUCCGGCGACGGUAGGCGUCGCCGGACACGCCGCCGUCCCCGACGACCCUCUCCCUCUCCUCUGCUCUCCUAUCUCCCUCAAACAGACGUCCAUCACCUCCAUAUAUCUCUCUUCACGUCGGAAGUCCGCCGCCGCGGAGACUCGCCGGGAAAACAACGGCGACACCCUCGGUUCUCCCUCUCUUUCGGACCUCCGGUGAUUUCAGCAGCGAUCAGCCGCUGCCCCACCUUCUAUUUGUGCAGAAUUCGACGGCCGCCGCAGCUGAAGCUAGCCACCGUCGAUCCGCCCCUCUCCCUUGAAUCUCCGGCCACCGCCCGUAGAUCAGGCGACGCCACUUCUGACUCUCUCGACUCCGGCAGUAGCAGCUUUCGUAGCCACCACCACCGCCGUCGUCCUCCGCCGAACAGCCCCGCUGUCCAGCCGCUCACCACCAUCUCAGCCCCGACCAUCUCUCUCAAACCUUUUUCCCUCGCUCGUUCUUCUCUGUUAACGGAAACAGGACAGCAGACGCCCCGCCGUGGUUGGAGUCAACGGCGGGUCUGCCGCCGCCACGCCAUCACCGGCGAGCUUCCCGGGCCGCCGACUUCUGCCCUCGACACUCACACACAUACACAUGGGCUUAGCACAAAAAUUUAACCACAAUUAAAAGUAGGAUUAGGGCAGAUUUGUAUUACUAAACUGUAAAUUGUUUAAUGACAAUUUCUUAUUAAAGCUUCUAGAUCUGUAAAUUAUUAUUCUUCCUUCAGUUAUCUGUACAGUAAUUUCAAUUCAAGAACAACUCAUAACGUAUUCAUA